GUGGGUGCCCCACAUCCUCUGGACUCUCCGUCGUCCCUGACUUAAGCGUCCAACCUGGGAGUUGGAAAGAAAGACAAUGGCUUUGAACUUCUGCCUUUUCUUUAUUUAAAACUGUCUUCUUCUGGGUCUCAGAGGCCUCCCCUCCUUUCCUCCCCAGAGGCAGUGCAGCUCCUUUGUCACAGCCUCAGUCCCUUCUACCCAGCACCUUGCAUAAACUCUUCCAGGCUGGGCUUCUUAGUAUGUUGAGAAGAGUACAGGAUUGAGAAAAUGAACGUAUGCAUAUAUACAUGUGUGUGUGCAUACAUACACGCAUGUGCUUGUUCACAGGACAUAUUUAUUUAUCCUCUCACAAUCAUAGCUUUUAAAAAUAUUGUCUCAGCAGAGAUGCAAAUAUCUCAUUCUGUCAGAAUCUGAAUAAUGCCUCUUCCUUUAGUUUGCAUUUUAUUUUGACAAUUCUCAUCUUCCUUGUGGCAAAUGACGAUUGCUGGCUGCCUAGGGGAAAGGCCACGUAUACAGUGCAGAAAAGUGAAAGAAAAAAGCACACUAGUUUAAUUAUGCUCUUAAAUGAUCUCUGUUGCACCAAGAUUUGCCUUAAUUCUUCUUGUUUCCUAGAAAUUUGUUGGGAAUGGAAUCCAAGGGGCCUGUAGAAAAGAGCUGAGUCUCCAGGGUGAGCUCCGUGGGGCCUAGGGACAUGGUCAGGAGUGGUCUUCCUGGUUUCCCUACAAACGGAGAGGGUGUCAGAACGCCCUGCAGGGCUGUUUGUCCUCUGUGCGCAGACGUGCCUUAACGGAGACCAACAUCUCUACCUUCAGCAAUAAAAACCGGCCGCGUUCCUCCUGUGAAGCACGAGGGGCACAGGCCCAGCUUUGAAGCCCGGAGCGCGCGCGCCUCUUUCUUCCUCCCCAGCCCCGCGCUCUGACCUGAGGGUGGGCUUCAGGCUCACUUUUUCUGAUGAAGAUCGAAAAAAGAAAAACCAGUGACCUCUCCAGAAACGGAAGAGGGUAGAAAUCAGGAAACUACAGUCCCACUGCCGGCCCGACCUGACUUAUUGUUCGCGUGCCACCAUUUCCAUGCCUGGCGUUCAGGGAAAACGCUCGCAACAGCCCCGGCCUCCAGCCUCCACUGCGGACGGCGCCCUGUUCGACGCGGCACGUGCGUCUCACCGCUUUCCCGCCGCGAGGGCCGCGCGGGGUCGCCUCUCCGGUCCUCGCGCGGACCGUCGUGCGCACCCAGCGCCUGCGCGUCCUGGUGUGCGUGUGGCUGGGCCCCGAGCCUUCGUGCGCGCCCCCUCGUCAGCGGAUCACAGCGCGGGGCCUGGCGCGUGCCCGCC
This 1330-nucleotide long non-coding RNA is filed under the name Equus caballus (horse). Its description in RNAcentral is "lncRNA (ENSECAG00000044725.1)". The record is from RNAcentral. Lineage: Eukaryota; Metazoa; Chordata; Mammalia; Perissodactyla; Equidae.